Molecule: ribosomal RNA, 830 nt
Filed under: uncultured archaeon
Lineage: Archaea
Description: bacterial SSU rRNA
Rfam family: Archaeal small subunit ribosomal RNA
Source: RNAcentral
UCGACUAAGCCAUGCAAGUCGAGAGGUGCAAGACCUCGGCGAACUGCUCAGUAACACGUGGACAAUCUGCCCUGGAGAAGGGAAUAAUCCCGGGAAACUGGGGGUAAUACCCUAUAGUCCGGAUGUACUGGAAUGUUAUCCGGAUGAAAGAUCCGUCGCUUCAGGAUGAGUCUGCGGCCGAUUAGGUAGUUGUUGGGGUUACGGCCCACCAAGCCUAUAAUCGGUACGGGUUGUGGGAGCAAGAGCCCGGAGAUGGAUUCUGAGACACGAAUCCAGGCCCUACGGGGCGCAGCAGGCGCGAAAACUUUACAAUGCGGGCAACCGUGAUAAGGAAACCCCGAGUGCCAGCAUAGGUUGGCUGUCCGCCAGUGUAAAAAACUGGUGAAGAAAGGGCCGGGCAAGACCGGUGCCAGCCGCCGCGGUAAUACCGGCGGCUCGAGUGGUGGCCGCUAUUACUGGGCUUAAAGGGUCCGUAGCUUGAGGAUUGGGUCCCUUGAGAAAUCCACCGGCUUAACUGGUGGGCGUUCAGGGGAAACUGGUCUUCUAGGGACCGGGGGAGGUGAGAGGUACUGCCGGGGUAGGAGUGAAAUCCUGUAAUCCCGGUGGGACCACCUAUGGCGAAGGCAUCUCACCAGAACGGCUCCGACAGUGAGGGACGAAAGCUGGGGGAGCAAACCGGAUUAGAUACCCGGGUAGUCCCAGCUGUAAACGAUGCGCGUUAGGUGUGUCAGUGACCACGCGUCACUGAGGUGCCGAAGGGAAACCGUGAAACGCGCCGCCUGGGGAGUACGGUCGCAAGGCUGAAACUUAAAGGAAUUGGCGGGGGAGCA